UACAGAGGCCUCGAGCGUUAGGCGGAAUCACUGGGCUUAAAGCGUGUGUAGGCGGAUGCCUAAGUACCUUGUGAAAUCCCACGGCUCACCCGUGGAACGGCUGAGUAUACUGGGUGUCUUGAGCCACUUAGGGGCUGCCGGAACAAAUGGUGGAGCGGUGAAAUGCGUAGAUAUCAUUUGGAACGCCAAUGGUGAAAACAGGCAGCUGGGAGUGUGCUGGCGCUGAGACACGAAAGCCAGGGGAGCGAACGGG
RNAcentral lists this ribosomal RNA (253 nucleotides) under uncultured bacterium. RNAcentral's name for it is "partial 16S ribosomal RNA". It matches the Rfam family "Bacterial small subunit ribosomal RNA", at positions 524 to 776 of the family's 1533-position model. The record is from RNAcentral.